UAAGGAAUAUUGGUCAAUGGACGCAAGUCUGAACCAGCCAUGCCGCGUGAAGGAUGAAGGUCCUCUGGAUUGUAAACUUCUUUUAUCUGGGACGAAAACGGGAUUUUUAUCUCAAUUGACGGUACCAGAGGAAUAAGCACCGGCUAACUCCGUGCCAGCAGCCGCGGUAAUACGGAGGGUGCGAGCGUUAUCCGGAUUUACUGGGUUUAAAGGGUGCGUAGGUGGGCUUAUAAGUCAGUGGUGAAAUCUCCGAGCUUAACUUGGAAACUGCCGUUGAUACUAUAGGUCUUGAAUUAUCUGGAGGUAAGCGGAAUAUGUCAUGUAGCGGUGAAAUGCUUAGAUAUGACAUAGAACACCAAUUGGGAAGGCAGCUUACUACAUAUAAAUUGACGCUGAGGCACGAAAGCGUGGGGAUCAAACA
This 421-nucleotide ribosomal RNA is filed under the name uncultured bacterium. Its description in RNAcentral is "bacterial SSU rRNA". It matches the Rfam family "Bacterial small subunit ribosomal RNA", at positions 355 to 774 of the family's 1533-position model. The record is from RNAcentral.